UCCUUCUCCAUAAAGCACCCUGCUAAAACUGCAGGAGCCAAGCCUCACAGGUUUAGCUCCUGUGGACAUGUAAGCAUGGGUACACCAGGGAAGGAGAGAAAAGCACAGGGUUGGAAAUGAGGCUUGGAUGGACCUCUUUCUUAAUGUCCAGUGUCCUUUUGUCUCGAGAUCCUGUGUCACACAC
This is a small nucleolar RNA of Sphaeramia orbicularis (orbiculate cardinalfish), 184 nucleotides long. Ensembl annotates it as small nucleolar RNA SNORA81. Lineage: Eukaryota; Metazoa; Chordata; Actinopteri; Kurtiformes; Apogonidae. The record is from Ensembl.